Long non-coding RNA from Capsicum annuum, 6892 nucleotides. RefSeq lists it as uncharacterized. The transcript is spliced from 10 exons. Lineage: Eukaryota; Viridiplantae; Streptophyta; Magnoliopsida; Solanales; Solanaceae. The record is from RefSeq and is a predicted model, not a curated record.
GAUUGCAACAGGUACCAGUCAUGAGUGAGCUUGUGGUCCUUUAGUAUUAUGAGCACCGUGUAGCGUCCGGGGUAACAAACUUGGUAUGAGAGCCUGAGGUUCAACAGAAUCCUAGGAAGUCUUAAAACCGUGUCUAGUGGAGUCCUGUGCAUGGGGUGUUGCGCGCCAUACUUAUGGACAAGAGGCUAUGAGGCAUUUUAGGAAAAGUUUCCCUUCUUUCAGUAUUCAUGUCGUGCGAGUGAGCAUGAGCUCAAGUUAAACUCUCAGUCUAAUCCUUUUCUUCCCUCCAUUUACAGAAUGUCUCCCAAAAAGACUAACGGAAGAAGAACUGGAAACUAGCCUGUGCCUUCGCCCGUUCAGGAAAAUCCCCUGAAUGAGCAUGUGUCUCACUCCGAACUCAGGACCGCUUUCACUGCCUUAGCUUAUUCAGUGGUAGCCUGGAACAAUCAUCUGGCUACAAUCCUAUCUAGGCUUAUGACUCAAUCUCCGCAGAGUGAGGAGAAAAGAUGUAGGAAAAGAGGGAGAAAGAAUAAGAGGGCUAGAACGCCAAGGCCAGAGAGUGGCCGAACAAAUCCUCCUUGCCAAAAAUAUGGUAGAAACCAUCAGGGCGUGUGUAAGGUUGGUAGUGGGUUGUGUUUUAGAUGUGGCAAGCCAGGCCAUAGAAUCAGAGAUUGUCCUCAGUCAUGUUUGCGGAGUCAACAUAUCCGUCCUUCAGCUCAGUCCGAUCGCUCGAAUCAGUAGGGUGCCAUUUCCAGCGCCACAAGUGGGCAACGCCCAAAUAGGCUUUAUGCACUUUAGUCCCGACAGGCUCAGAAAAGUUCUCCUAAUGUGGUCACUGGUAUGUUACAAGUUUAUCAUUUACAUGUUUAUGCCUUAUUAGAUCCAGGAGCUUCUUUGUCUCUGGUAACUCCUUACAUAGCAGUCAACUUUAAAGUCAGACUAAAAAUCUUAACAGAACCUUUUUUAGUACCUACCCCAGUAGGUAAAUCUAUUUUAGCCAGACGAGUAUAUAGAAAUUGCUCGGUUAUAGUAUUUUCAGAAAAUUCCUUCAGUUGAUUUCAGUAAUAGAGUCGUUCCGUUCCCAUUUCCUGAUGGGCCAAUCAUCGAAUAAAGGGGUAGUACCUCAAUUUCAGUUGAUUUAAGCUUGAAUUUUUUUAGAUUGAACCAGUAGAAAGAAGAGUUGAGAAUUCUAAGUUUGUCAGUGUUGAGGUUGCUAUAUGAUGAUUGUUGGGGCCAUAAAAAGCUAAGAAUCGUGUAUCAGAAGAGUACUAGCAGUGGACCUUACAUUAUCAGGUGUAGUCCUUUAGAAUGAGUUUAGUGUUUAUGACUAUUGUUAGACCUCAGGCUCUAGAGUAAAGUGGUUUCAGUUCGAUUUAAAGUUUAUUAAGUGGUUCGCAGACUUAGAAUAACGGCUUUAAGCUAAGGAGGAGAUGGUAGAACAAGUAACCACGUCAGGCUUCCAGAUUUUUAGUAGUAAUGUCAGUAUGUGUAGAAGAGCAGUGGGAAAGGAUGAUGCCCAACCCGUACUUACCUCAAUACAAAGUUUUGCACUUCAACUAUCACGAUAUGAUAUCUCUCACGCCUUACAUGUCAACUCUAUGAUCAUAGCUCAUAUUCGUGCACAUGAUCGAAAAUCACGUACGCUUACCAUUCCUAGUAUAAGGAAUUCCAGUUCACUCAGUGUUAUGAAUCAUGUUCCAUGAAUACAGAAACUCCAAACUCAGGUCAUGCAACUCAUGACUCAUGUACUCAUGCUUUACAGUAAGCUCAGCUCCCAUGACUCAUGCUACACUCCUAAUGAUCCGCUAAAUUCAGAUUUCGUCAUGUAUAUCCUCAGUUUAGAUCUCUUGAUAAAAUCCAGGAUAUUAUUGUUCUAUUCCUCAGGCCUCAGUUAAGUGUCAAGUUCGGUAUAGUGCCAUUCAUGCUUCAGGUCCUCAUAUUUAACCUUCAGUGAACUCUCCUUAUGAAAUGAUGUAGUGGUGAGCAGUUGCUUAGGAGGGGGAGAGUAAAUGUUUCAUGUUAAGAAAAGAUUGUUGCAUGCUACUUUUACAAGAGGUUGUAGUUAUGAAGAUAGGCUUGAAUGUCAUGUUGAUGUGUAAAUGGCUAAAUGCAUUUUGGAGAUUUGAGUAGGCUUGAACAUAGUGGGAGAAUUCAGUCCAACUCAGACCUCAGUAGGUAGAGUUAUUAGUGCCCAUGUAAAUAUUUUCAGUAGCCCCAAGUAAAGUGCGGUGUUGAAGUAGAAAUUACAGUUAAGAAAUGUGGUUAGGAUGGUGAGUUAGUAGUUUUAGUGCAUGAGGCUUAGUAACUUUGUCUUAGAUAACGUCUCGUAGGCUUUGCUCCAUAUUACAGAAUUGGAGCCAUGUUGUGAUUUCUUAUUCGGAUGUCUUAUUUAGACCAUGUCGAGAUUUCCUUGCUCCCUAAAGUCAGUAUAACUUUGUAGAAAGAGUGUCAAAAAAUGCUCUAGUUGAGUAUAAGUUUUCAGAAUGAGUUAGUCCGUAAAGCCAGGAAUUCAGUUUAGCAGUCAGGUGGAUAGGUUCGUACGGUUUCCCCAUCUUUCCACCCAAUCGUACUCCAAAGUUUCAUGAAUGAAUGUUCCAAGAUAGAGCAUCCUAGUAGUUACGAGUUCAGCCCAGUUCAUGUAUCAUGCCUCAGUUUUAGAUCUCAGAUAUUCAGUCACGAUUUAGUUCGUAGGUGCCCCAUGCACCGUCUCAGCUUUUUCUUAGUAUCUCAGCCAAGUCAGCAUUCUUCGAUGGACAUAAUGUCCCAAGGGGGAGAUACACUAUAACCCCUGAGCUUUCAUGUCCUAAACGUUCCAGUUUCUCAUCACGUAACUAGAUCCAGUUGGAGUAAUGAGUACUCAUAAGUUGACUCUCUCGUUCCAAUCUUAGCCAUAUGACCAUUCCCAUGUCAUGGCAUUUAACCAAGGAAUCAACUCAGUUCACGAUAUUCGGUUCAUGUAUCAUGUUUCAGACUCAGUUAUGUUCUCAUGUUCCCGAACUCAGUUCACGAUAUUCAGUUCAUGUAUCAUGUUUCAGACUCAGUUAUGUUCUCAUGUUCCCGUUCAUGCAUGUUCAGUAAAUGAUCUCAGGUUCAUCAGUAUUCUCAGCUUAAGGUAACAGUGUUUCUUAAAUUGGCUUAGUUCCAUGUUCAGUUACAGUUAUAAACUUGGUAUCCAUUACUGUUGCAUAUUCAGUCAUGCAUUCGCGAAUCAGUUCAGUCAUGUACUUAUGCAUCAGAUAUGCAUAUUUAGUAUGAAAACUCAGCUUAUCAGUACUUUCAAUUAUGUAUUCCAUGCAUAAGAUAUGCAUAUUCAGUGUAUAAACUCAGUCCAUCAGUAUUUCUUAGCAUAAUCAGUCUCAUUUGAGGACGAAUAUUCCCAAGGGGGAGAUAUUGUAAGACCCCGCAAAAUUCUAAGCUUAACUCAGUCCGUUAAAGCUUGAAAAGAGGUCCCAGACUUAGAAAUUUCCGCUAAGUGUUUAUACUUAGAAGUGUUUUAGCCUUCGUAAGUUGGUGAUCCUAUUUUAUGACCCUUAUGACCUUAAAGUAUCAGUUUUUAGAUUUAUUCAUGAUCAGGAAUGUCAGUAGGUCACUUCGGGUGAGUUUUGGAUUUUUCGAACCUCGUUUAAACCAUGUUCAGGUGACCAAAACAGUGGGUCGACCAUCGCGUUGACAAAUAAUUUUUCCCCAUCUUUCAGUGCAAUUCCAGUUAACCAAUGCGAACUCAACGCAGCGCGUUGGCCAUCGCAUUGAUGCCAUCGACGCGACGCAUCAGUCUGCGCGUCACUAGGCACAAUUUUUGCUUUAUUAAUUCCGCAUCUAGAGAGGUAUUUAGGUCAAUUUCCCCACUCCUAUUCAGCCCCAAAACACGUAAUUAGGCCUUUCUAAAGGCAAAUUUCACGCACUCUCUUUAGAAUCCUCUCAAGAACAAACCCUAUGGGAUCUAAUUUCAAAUUCAAGAUCCAAGGACGCACCACCAAUCUUCACGAAUUCAAGCUCCAAGGUAUGUGAAGUGUUCAUCCAAGGGUUUUCUUCCACCCUUGGAAUUCAAGAAACUCUUUUAAACUACAAGUUAAUUGAUUUUAUGAAUUCAAUGUGGGAUUUGAGCGUAUUCAUGAUUAUGAUGUUAAUUGUGUUCUAAUCCAUGGUUUAUUCCUAGUUUCAUGUGAAAUUAUUUAUCAUGUGUGUAGUAUCAUGUGAAUUCAUGUUAAAAGCCCUUGAUUUUUGAAUUGGGAUUUGAAAUUAUGAUGCGUACAUGUUAUUUAGUAUCAUGUGCAUAGAUUAUGUUCCCUAAGUGCUUGAUAAAUUGCUCAUGUGAAUUAAAUGUGAAAAUCAUGACAUAUAGCAUAUGUGCAAGCUUAUAUCUUACAAGUGUUUGAUAGAAUGCCUUUAUGAACGAGUUUUGAGCAAGUAAAGAUUGUGAUGCUUUUCAAGUUUAUGCAAUGCGUUACUUUUCAUGCUAUCGAGUCUUGGGGGUAUUCAAUACCCGAAGAUUUAGUUGCUUACCUAGAGUUACAGUAGUUACAGAACAACCUUAGUAGCGUCACGAACAAUAGUACUUAGUAAUCAGUCACAAUUUCAGUUCAGUAAAUAGUUCAGAACUUAGUAGUAUUCCGUCAGUCAGUGGCACUCAAUAAACUCAGUUCAGUCCAGUUAGACAUAUCAUCAGCCUACCUCACUUAGCAUACCAGUACAUUCAAAGUACUGACGCAUAAUUUUCUUUUGCGCCAUGAUGUCUUAUAUCAUAGGUUCAGAUGCACGGGCUACUCACCACACUUAGCAGCCCGGAUUAUCAGCAACAGAUUUAGUGGUUCAUUCAAAAUGGCACAACGAUUUACUAUCAAUGAAAUAACCGCUGCAACAAACGACUGGACUUGUAAAGUUCAAGUGAUUGACAAGGGCCGACAGCGAGACAAUCAACAUGGAAGUAAAAAAUAUCAGCUUUUGAUUUUGCAGGAUGAAGAGGUACCAGCUCAUGGGUUAACUUGUGGUCCCUCAGGACUGUAAGCACCGUGUGGCGCCCAGGGUGUACUCUCGGGGCAUUACAAUUAUAAUGGAUCAAAGUCAAAAACCUACCAAAUUUACACUACACUUUGGGAGAAGUUCAUUGAUCAUGAUGGAGCUAAAAUAUUGGAAAAAAUUAAUCAAUAUCCAAUCAUCCUUGCAAGAAAAGUUGUAGAAUCAAGACCUGGACUGACAACAAGAUUUGCAACAACAAUUCAGAUUGAUCCUCCAUAUCCGUAGGUUGCUGCACUCAGAACAUGGAUCAAAACAAACAAGCAGCUGCUGAUUGAUUGCAUACAGGAAAAAGAGUACAGCUCCAUCAGGAUCUUUGCAAUUCAUUCCUUUUCAGGAUGAAGUUAUAUCUGUUGCCACUGCCCAAGAACAACCCCAGAUGUCAGUUUGAAGUGACUGUUGCAGACAGCAGUGGUUCAAUAGCAGCACUUAUUGCAGAUGAAACUGCUAAACAAUGUUGCAUCUCAGUUUAUUACAUUCAGGCAGUCUAGAAACAAAUGUUGCCAUUGGCGAAUGUCCAGGCCCAGUUAUCUGGCAAGAAAUUUGAUAUCCUGGCCAAAAAAUCUUACGCAAAAGGCACAGAUGCUGGUACCCCAAGAUUGAUCAUUGUGUCGUUCGUGGAAAAUCAACCUUCAAUGAACACACUGAAAGCAUUGGAAAGAGAAAGAUAUAUGAAACUGGCGCCAUAAGUUCUUCAGAUCACAUGUCAAGUAGUUCCCAUCAGAAAAACAAUACAGAGGUGAAAACGUCACCUCUGAAAAGCUGUCACAAGUGAACAAUGUUUUGUCUCCUACUUUUGUGAUGUCAUUGGAGCCACACUGAAAAGCAUCCUAAGAAAUGCUGUAGCAACUGUUUUUGCUGUCCACCUGAACAAGAUUGUGAGUAAAAGUUAAGGCAAGCAUCUAUCGGAAAUAAACUCCCUAUCUCUCGAAAGUAGGGGUAAGAUAUGCAUACAAACUAACCUCCCUACUUAUAUGAAUACAUAAGUUUCUAUUCAUGUGCCCUUGCUAUCUGGUUUUACUAUGAAAUUCAACGUUUUUUGGUCAAAUUUCAUGGAAUGUUGAUAUGAUUGGAGAUUAAGGAUAGUAUCCCACACACCAAAAUUACUCACAAGCGAAUUUUUUGUUGUUGUUGUGCAGAUAAUGCAAGCUGAUGUUUGUAUUCUUUAUUAAAAACAGACACCGUAGUAACAGUUUUUUUCGGUGGUUUUUUCUUGAAAAGUGCCUUUGGGAUUUAUGGGAUUUCAGAUUUCUCAUUUGAAUAUGUCUAAUUGAAUCUGCAUGGAGAAAAAUUGAUAUUAAGGAUUUGUACACUCCACCAUAAAUAAAAGUUGUUUAGUAAUAGCUAAUUUACGUCAUUUGGGUUAGUAGAGUUUGAACACUUUAGAAUUAUACAUCGAAUUUCUCAUCUGUGUUGUUGUUAGUUGCAAAAUGACUUUGUUUACUAUUGUUCACCUUUAUUCUACUAAUGGUUGAUUGGGUUCAAUACAUUAUAAACUUGAGCAUACAUUGUUCUUUGUCACAGUACAAAAUAUGUACAUGUUAUUGCAGAAUAGUAUGGCACUCCAAACAGAAUAUAGUAGUAGUUUGUGCUGACUGGUAUCCUUCAGAGUUUAUUCCUGCAUAAUACUAACCCUUCUCAAUUUUACUGUGCAACAGGUUUCAUCUCAAGCUAAGGAGGCACAACUUUUUGUUAUCUAUGUAAAUAAGAUGUAUAUAUAUCCUUUUUUUGUUAUCUAUGUAAAUAAGAUGUAUAUAACCUCUUGUAAAAUUUGGCUCCAUGAUAAAUAUUAUAAAGUAAAUAGUUUGUUCGGCAUACUGAUGCAUUACAUUUGACUUUUCUUUCACAUGCAUCACACGGGCCCCUCCCCCUAGUAUCU